CGGGAUGUAGCGCAGGUAGCGCACCUGGCUGGGGGCCAGGGGGUCGCAGGUUCAAAUCCUGUCAUCCCGGC
RNAcentral lists this transfer RNA (71 nucleotides) under Arthrobacter sp. Bi26. RNAcentral's name for it is "tRNA-Pro". It matches the Rfam family "tRNA". Rfam says of the family: Transfer RNA (tRNA) molecules are approximately 80 nucleotides in length. Their secondary structure includes four short double-helical elements and three loops (D, anti-codon, and T loops). Lineage: Bacteria; Bacillati; Actinomycetota; Actinomycetes; Micrococcales; Micrococcaceae. The record is from RNAcentral.